GGGACUGUGGCUCAGUGGUAGAGUACUUGCCUAGCAUGCAGGAGGCCCUGGGUUCAAUUCCUCACUACCA
This 70-nucleotide transfer RNA is filed under the name Dipodomys ordii (Ord's kangaroo rat). It matches the Rfam family "tRNA". Rfam says of the family: Transfer RNA (tRNA) molecules are approximately 80 nucleotides in length. Lineage: Eukaryota; Metazoa; Chordata; Mammalia; Rodentia; Heteromyidae. The record is from Rfam by way of RNAcentral.